Molecule: ribosomal RNA, 962 nt
Filed under: Pediococcus pentosaceus
Lineage: Bacteria; Bacillati; Bacillota; Bacilli; Lactobacillales; Lactobacillaceae
Description: bacterial SSU rRNA
Rfam family: Bacterial small subunit ribosomal RNA
Source: RNAcentral
AGGCCACAUUUGUUUUUACGAAAGUGCUUUUCGGAUUAUUGGGGCGUAAGCGAGCGCAGGCGGUCUUUUAAGUCUAAUGUGAAAGCCUUCGGCUCAACCGAAGAAGUGCAUUGGAAACUGGGAGACUUGAGUGCAGAAGAGGACAGUGGAACUCCAUGUGUAGCGGUGAAAUGCGUAGAUAUAUGGAAGAACACCAGUGGCGAAGGCGGCUGUCUGGUCUGCAACUGACGCUGAGGCUCGAAAGCAUGGGUAGCGAACAGGAUUAGAUACCCUGGUAGUCCAUGCCGUAAACGAUGAUUACUAAGUGUUGGAGGGUUUCCGCCCUUCAGUGCUGCAGCUAACGCAUUAAGUAAUCCGCCUGGGGAGUACGACCGCAAGGUUGAAACUCAAAAGAAUUGACGGGGGCCCGCACAAGCGGUGGAGCAUGUGGUUUAAUUCGAAGCUACGCGAAGAACCUUACCAGGUCUUGACAUCUUCUGACAGUCUAAGAGAUUAGAGGUUCCCUUCGGGGACAGAAUGACAGGUGGUGCAUGGUUGUCGUCAGCUCGUGUCGUGAGAUGUUGGGUUAAGUCCCGCAACGAGCGCAACCCUUAUUACUAGUUGCCAGCAUUAAGUUGGGCACUCUAGUGAGACUGCCGGUGACAAACCGGAGGAAGGUGGGGACGACGUCAAAUCAUCAUGCCCCUUAUGACCUGGGCUACACACGUGCUACAAUGGAUGGUACAACGAGUCGCGAGACCGCGAGGUUAAGCUAAUCUCUUAAAACCAUUCUCAGUUCGGACUGUAGGCUGCAACUCGCCUACACGAAGUCGGAAUCGCUAGUAAUCGCGGAUCAGCAUGCCGCGGUGAAUACGUUCCCGGGCCUUGUACACACCGCCCGUCACACCAUGAGAGUUUGUAACACCCAAAGCCCGGUGGGGUAACCUUUUAGGAGCUAGCCGUCUAAAGUUAAACACAUAUUU